CCUCCCAAAGUGCUGGGAUUACAGGUGUGAGCCACCAUGCCCAGCCCUAAUUUUGUAUAUAUUUUUUUGUCUUUGUAUGAGAUUUUAUUAAAGGUCUUUACAGAGCAACAUCCAGACUCCAGAAUACAGCUGCUAAGGAGACCCUGUUAUGCUAUGGGGGUGGUGGGCAGUAUCUCAUCUUUGGGUUCCACGAUGCUCACGUGGUCAGGCCAUCCACAAACUUCAUGGAUUUAGCCCUCUGUCCUCGGAGUUUCCCAG
Molecule: long non-coding RNA, 258 nt
Filed under: Homo sapiens (human)
Lineage: Eukaryota; Metazoa; Chordata; Mammalia; Primates; Hominidae
Description: HSALNT0065481
Source: RNAcentral